RNAcentral lists this ribosomal RNA (156 nucleotides) under uncultured Erysipelothrix sp. RNAcentral describes it as "partial 16S ribosomal RNA". It matches the Rfam family "Bacterial small subunit ribosomal RNA", at positions 1229 to 1374 of the family's 1533-position model. The record is from RNAcentral. Lineage: Bacteria; Bacillati; Bacillota; Erysipelotrichia; Erysipelotrichales; Erysipelotrichaceae.
AAUGGCGUAUACAAAGGGAUGCGAAAGGGCGACCUGGAGCAAAACUCAACAAAGUACGUCUCAGUUCAGAUUGGAGUCUGCAACUCGACUCCACGAAGGCGGAAUCGCUAGUAAUCGCGGAUCAGCAUGCCGCGGUGAAUACGUUCCGUCGGGUUU